GAUUAGAUACCCUGGUAGUCCACGCCGUAAACGAUGUCGACUUGGAGGUUGUUCCCUUGAGGAGUGGCUUCCGGAGCUAACGCGUUAAGUCGACCGCCUGGGGAGUACGGCCGCAAGGUUAAAACUCAAAUGAAUUGACGGGGGCCCGCACAAGCGGUGGAGCAUGUGGUUUAAUUCGAUGCAACGCGAAGAACCUUACCUACUCUUGACAUCCAGGGAAUUUGGCAGAGAUGCCUUGGUGCCUUCGGGAACUGUGAGACAGGUGCUGCAUGGCUGUCGUCAGCUCGUGUUGUGAAAUGUUGGGUUAAGUCCCGCAACGAGCGCAACCCUUAUCCUUUGUUGCCAGCGAUUCGGUCGGGAACUCAAAGGAGACUGCCGGUGAUAAACCGGAGGAAGGUGGGGAUGACGUCAAGUCAUCAUGGCCCUUACGAGUAGGGCUACACACGUGCUACAAUGGCGCAUACAAAGAGAAGCGACCUCGCGAGAGCAAGCGGACCUCACAAAGUGCGUCGUAGUCCGGAUCGGAGUCUGCAACUCGACUCCGUGAAGUCGGAAUCGCUAGUAAUCGUGGAUCAGAAUGCCACGGUGAAUACGUUCCCGGGCCUUGUACACACCGCCCGUCACACCAUGGGA
RNAcentral lists this ribosomal RNA (633 nucleotides) under Pantoea stewartii. RNAcentral's name for it is "bacterial SSU rRNA". It matches the Rfam family "Bacterial small subunit ribosomal RNA", at positions 776 to 1409 of the family's 1533-position model. The record is from RNAcentral. Lineage: Bacteria; Pseudomonadati; Pseudomonadota; Gammaproteobacteria; Enterobacterales; Erwiniaceae.